RNAcentral lists this ribosomal RNA (450 nucleotides) under uncultured bacterium. RNAcentral's name for it is "bacterial SSU rRNA". It matches the Rfam family "Bacterial small subunit ribosomal RNA", at positions 354 to 796 of the family's 1533-position model. The record is from RNAcentral.
GUGGGGAAUAUUGGACAAUGGGCGAAAGCCUGAUCCAGCCAUGCCGCGUGUGCGAAGAAGGUCUUCGGAUUGUAAAGCACUUUAAGUUGGGAGGAAGGGCAGUAAGUUAAUACCUUGCUGUUUUGACGUUACCGACAGAAUAAGCACCGGCUAACUUCGUGCCAGCAGCCGCGGUAAUACGAAGGGUGCAAGCGUUAAUCGGAAUUACUGGGCGUAAAGCGCGCGUAGGUGGUUUUGUAAGUUGGAGGUGAAAUCCCCGGGCUCAACCUGGGAACUGCCUCCAAAACUGCAUGACUAGAGUACGGUAGAGGGUAGUGGAAUUUCCUGUGUAGCGGUGAAAUGCGUAGAUAUAGGAAGGAACACCAGUGGCGAAGGCGACUACCUGGACUGAUACUGACACUGAGGUGCGAAAGCGUGGGGAGCAAACAGGAUUAGAUACCCUAGUAGUCC